Molecule: long non-coding RNA, 1924 nt
Organism: Takifugu rubripes (torafugu)
Lineage: Eukaryota; Metazoa; Chordata; Actinopteri; Tetraodontiformes; Tetraodontidae
Source: Ensembl
CAAAACGUGAUUGGAACAAGAGUUUUCAUAUGAUGCUGACACUGUGAGAAGAAUUGUUAUUACUAUUAUCGUUUAAAUGCUAUGAUGAAUAGAUUUAGAGUGUUUAAGGAAUGCUGUUAAGAAAAGGAAUGUGUGUCACGGACCGGUUGAUUAGGACCCGAAUGCAGGCCAGGACACAUUGGUAAAAUGGUCAAACAGCUUUAUUUACAGGGGUAGGGGGCACACAAAGAACAUGAGCAACACGGAGCACACAAGGAACACGAGGGCAGCCUUCCAGGGCUGCGGAGCACACGAGGGCAACCCUCCAGGGCUGCGGAGGGCGCAGGGAACAGGGGCGGCCCUCCAGGAGACACCAAGCUGGAGUGACCGUCCAGGGCGAAGAGUAGAGGGGCAGCCCUCCAGGGCGCAGGGAACAGGGGCGGCCCUCCAGGAGACACCAAGCUGGAGUGACCCUCCAGGAGACACGAAGCUGGAGCGGCCCUCCAGGGCGCAGAGAACAGGGCCCUCCAGGAGACAUGAAGGUGAAGGUGAAGCUGGGGCGGCCCUCCAGGAGACACAGAACACCAGCACACGACGAGGAAGACGAACAGACAUGCUUACAAGACAAACAGAACAACCUCACAAGACAAACAGACACUCUGGCACUGAGAGGCAGGCGCAACCUGCUUAAAUAGGCAGCCCAAUAUAAAUUGCUUACAGGUGCGCCUGCCAGCAGUGCCAGCUGCCACCAAUUGUGCCCCACACCACCCCCUGCAGGACAACAACCGACACAACCCAGAAACCCUGACAGUGUGAAUGUUAAAACUAGAGUUAGUUAGAGUUAAAGUGCUAGAGCUGUUUAUAUAACCAGCACUUAGAGGUAUCCUGUUUGAUAAGACAAGGAGGUCGUAAAGAUGGGAAAAGUAGAUAGGAGACAAGGAAUCGUGAGGUCCUGUUUGACAUAAAUCUUGUGUGCACCAAUCAAAGAGGCGAGCGAGUAGCAGACGAGCAGAGUUGACAGAGGAAGCUUGAACUGCUGCCCUUGCAAGGACUCUAGUUGUUUGUCUGAGUCUUAACAUAAGAGUAAAGAACAGCGCGGGUGACAAACUUCACCCUCAUUUGGUCCUUUGAGCUGAAUCCCAAGACCUGGAGAGGAGUCUGCGCGCAGCCGGAGUCAAAAAGACGUCCGAAGUGAAAGACCUUUCAUCACGAGUUGACGGAAGGCCGGUCUUCGUCCCUCCCAGGGCGACCAUCUCCAGUGACGGGAAGAAGGCACUAAAACAACUCAGAGAAAAACCAUAGAAACAACGGAGUGAGUAUAAAACACAAAAAGCACUACACUGAAAUACUGCAGAGGUUAUCCUGCCUGGUCAUUGGGAGAGAAGCAGAGGCAAGAUACACCCGCCUCUUCAAAGGUAGAAGCUUGGUGUAUACUCUCCUGAUUGGGAACGGGGGACUAUAAGGCCACGGCAGAGAGACUCAACUAGAUAUCCAGUAGGGAUUGAGGGUUGUUCAGUCGGAGACCAGAAAUCUCAAAAUCUCCCAAAUACACAAAAACUGAUCAAAUAAAGUGCACACAUGGGCAACCAACAUUCAACAAAAGGUGCUGAAUUCGAAAUCCCAGCAUCAUGUAAACACAUGGAAGACAAAUAUCCAGGUUCAUGCUCAUAUGUUCAGCUGUGGAUGACCAAGUUCGAUUGGGAUGGUAACUUAGACGGGCCAGGCAAUAUUAUAAUAUUAAAAGAUUUAAUAGAAUGUGGAAAGAAACAUCCAAAAGUAAAUGUGGGGUUGACACAAUGUCACCUCUGGCUCACUGAAUUAAAAUAUAGAAGAGAAAAACAAAAUCAAGAAAAGGAGAAACGAAAAAGAGAAAAAUAAGAGAAUAAGAACCCCUUUUACCCAUCACUGAGUGCGUACGUGAGAGAGGAGGACAACGAAACAGGAG